AUGGCAGGUCUGGCUUUUGAUCCGGCAGUCUCAUCCCAUUUCCACGUUUUUUGUUUUGAGAAGACCUCUGUGGAAACGUACAAGACAGGAGUGAACAUCUACUCGUCGCAAACAGGAGCCUGGAGUCGCAGAGAUGGUGGGAUUGCCGAGAAAGUGGUGCUGUUCUUCUAUAGCAAGGGUGUCUUUCUCAACGGUAUGAUGUACGUGAUUGGCAACCCGAACGGCAUCAGCAACGAGUAUGCACUCCUGGGGAUGGACAUGGAGGGCAAAGUGCGGAAGACUAUCCCUAUGCCAUACGGUCGAAGAUUUGGUGCGAUUGGAUCGUCGCAGGGGUGCUUACUCUAUGGUGUAGCUUCCGUCGAUGAUAACAAUAAAACACUAGAUUCUGAGACAGAACUCUGGUGCCUCAAGGAUUGUGACAGUGAAGAAUUCGUUCUGAAGCACACUGCCAGCAUCGAUGAGCUUAUCAGCAUGACUGGGGAGAAGUACAGGGUGGCUGGGAUUCAUCCAGAUUGCGACACCAUUUACCUGGUUUCACGUGGAGGUGAUACCAUGGUACCGUAUGAUAUGCAACAUCAGAAAGUUGGCUGUAUCCUUAAUCUCGAGAAGAAUACACAACGAUUUCUACCUUAUGUUCCUCUGUUCUCGGAGUCAUUAGCAGAUGGAGAUGGGCAGUAG
This 678-nucleotide ribosomal RNA is filed under the name Triticum aestivum (bread wheat). RNAcentral describes it as "partial small subunit ribosomal RNA". Lineage: Eukaryota; Viridiplantae; Streptophyta; Magnoliopsida; Poales; Poaceae. The record is from RNAcentral.